This 625-nucleotide ribosomal RNA is filed under the name Staphylococcus pseudintermedius. RNAcentral describes it as "bacterial LSU rRNA". It matches the Rfam family "Bacterial large subunit ribosomal RNA", at positions 2299 to 2925 of the family's 2925-position model. Lineage: Bacteria; Bacillati; Bacillota; Bacilli; Caryophanales; Staphylococcaceae. The record is from RNAcentral.
AACAGGGGCGCUCAAAGGUUCCCUCAGAAUGGUUGGAAAUCAUUCAUAGAGUGUAAAGGCAUAAGGGAGCUUGACUGCGAGACCUACAAGUCGAGCAGGGUCGAAAGACGGACUUAGUGAUCCGGUGGUUCCGCAUGGAAGGGCCAUCGCUCAACGGAUAAAAGCUACCCCGGGGAUAACAGGCUUAUCUCCCCCAAGAGUUCACAUCGACGGGGAGGUUUGGCACCUCGAUGUCGGCUCAUCGCAUCCUGGGGCUGUAGUCGGUCCCAAGGGUUGGGCUGUUCGCCCAUUAAAGCGGUACGCGAGCUGGGUUCAGAACGUCGUGAGACAGUUCGGUCCCUAUCCGUCGUGGGCGUAGGAAAUUUGAGAGGAGCUGUCCUUAGUACGAGAGGACCGGGAUGGACAUACCUCUGGUGUACCAGUUGUCGUGCCAACGGCAUAGCUGGGUAGCUAUGUAUGGACGGGAUAAGUGCUGAAAGCAUCUAAGCAUGAAGCCCCCCUCGAGAUGAGAUUUCCCAACUUCGGUUAUAAGAUCCCUCAAAGAUGAUGAGGUGAAUAGGUUCGAGGUGGAAGCGUAGCGAUACGUGGAGCUGACGAAUACUAAUCGAUCGAAGACUUAAUCAAU